Molecule: ribosomal RNA, 1466 nt
Filed under: uncultured Bordetella sp.
Lineage: Bacteria; Pseudomonadati; Pseudomonadota; Betaproteobacteria; Burkholderiales; Alcaligenaceae
Description: partial 16S-23S ribosomal RNA intergenic spacer
Rfam family: Bacterial small subunit ribosomal RNA
Source: RNAcentral
AGUUCGAUCAUGGCUCAGAUUGAACGCUGGCGGGAUGUUUACACAUGCAAGUCGAACGGCAGCGCACGGACUUCGGUCUGCGUGGCGAGUGGCGAACGGGUGAGUAAUGUAUCGGAACGUGCCUAGUAGCGGGGGAUAACUACGCUGAAAAGCGUAGCUAAUACCGCGGUACGCCCUUCGGGGGGAAAGGACCUUUCGGGCUCGCAAAUUAAUAGAGCGGCCGGGAUAUCGGAUUAGCUAGUUGGUGGGGUAACGACUCACCAAGGCGACGAUCCGUAGCUGGUUUGAGAGGAUUAUCACCAGCCACACUGGGACUGAGACACGGCCCACCCUACGGGAGGCAGCAGGGAAUUUUGACAAUGGGGGGAAACCUGAUCCAGCCAUCCCGCGUGUGCGAUGAAGGCCUUCGGGUUGUAAAGCACUUUGCAGGAAGAAACGGCACGGAUAACACUCCGUGCAACUGACGGUACCUGCAGAAUAAGCAAUCAUUAACUUGCCGUGCCAGCAGCCGCGGUAAUACGUAGGGUGCAAGCGUUAAUCGAAUUACUGGGCGUAAAGCGUGCGCAGGCGGUUCGGAAAGAAAGAUGUGAAAUCCCAGAGCUUAACUUCUGAACUGCAUUUUUAAUUACCGAGCUAGAGGUGUCAGAGGGAGGUGAAUUCCAUGCAGCAGUGAAAUGCGUAGAUAUGCGGAGGAACACCGAUGGCGAAGGCAGCCUCCUGGGAUAACACUGACGUCACGCGAAAGCGGAGCAAACAGGAUUAGAUACCCGGUAGUCCACGCCCUAAACGAUGGUCAACUAGCUGUUGGGGUCUCGGCCGGUAGCGCAGCUAACGCGUGGGCUGACCGCCUGGGGAGCACGGUCGCAAGAUUAAAACUCAAAGGAAUUGACGGGGAUCCGGCACAAGUGUGAUAUGAUUAAUUCGGAUGCAACGCGAAAACCUACCUACCCUUGACAUGUCUGGAAUCCCGAAGAGAUUGGAGUGCUGCAGAGAACCGAACACAGGUGCUGCAUGGCUGGCCGUCAGCUCCGUGUCGUGAGAUGUUGGGUUAAGUCCCGCAACGAGCGGCAACCCUUGUCAUUAGUUGCUACGGCGAAAGGGCACUCUAAUGAGACUGCCGGUGACAAACCGGAGGAAGGUGGGGAUGACGUCAAGUCCUCAUGGCUCCCUAUGGGUAGGGCUUCACACGUCAUACAAUGGUCGGGACAGAGGGUCGCCAACCCGCGAGGGGGGAGCCAAUCCCAGAAACCCGAUCGUAGUCCGGAUCGCAGUCUGCAACUCGACUGCGUGAAGUCGGAAUCGCUAGUAAUCGCGGAUCGGCAUGUCGCGGUGAAUACGUUCCUGGUCUUGUACACACCGCCCGUCACACCAUGGGAGUGGGUUUUACCAGAAGUAGUUAGCCUAACCGUAAGGAGGGCGAUUACCACGGUAGGAUUCAUGACUGGGGUGAAGUCGUAACAAGGUAG